CGGCGAGUGAAGCGGUAACAGCUCAAAUUUGAAAUCUGGCCUCACGGUCCGAGUUGUAAUUUGUAGAGGAUGCUUCGAGCAUGGUCUGGCCUAAGUUCCUUGGAACAGGACGUCAUAGAGGGUGAGAAUCCCGUAUGCGGCCAGGUGCCUACGCUCAUGUGAAGCUCCUUCGACGAGUCGAGUUGUUUGGGAAUGCAGCUCAAAAUGGGUGGUAAAUUUCAUCUAAAGCUAAAUAUUGGCCAGAGACCGAUAGCGCACAAGUAGAGUGAUCGAAAGAUGAAAAGCACUUUGGAAAGAGAGUUAAACAGUACGUGAAAUUGUUGAAAGGGAAGCGCUUGCAACCAGACUUGCGCGCGGCCGAUCAUCCGGUGUUCUCACCGGUGCACUCGGCCGUGCUCAGGCCAGCAUCGGUUUUGGCGGCUGGAUAAAGGCCCUAGGAAUGUAGCUCCUCUCGGGGAGUGUUAUAGCCUAGGGUGCAAUGCAGCCUGCUGGGACCGAGGACCGCGCUUCGGCUAGGA
Molecule: ribosomal RNA, 518 nt
Filed under: Pseudogymnoascus pannorum
Lineage: Eukaryota; Fungi; Ascomycota; Leotiomycetes; Thelebolales; Thelebolaceae
Description: eukaryotic LSU rRNA
Rfam family: Eukaryotic large subunit ribosomal RNA
Source: RNAcentral